UCCCCGUUGCCGGGGCAGUAUGAUUAGAAAAAUUCAACUAAUCACAAGGGUUGCGCUCGUUGAUGGACUUAACCAAACAUCUCACGACACGAGCUGACGACGGCCAUGCAACACCUGUCACUUGGUUCCCGAGGGCACUCACUGCUUUCACAGUAAUUCCAAGGAUGUCAAACCCUGGUAAGGUUCUUCGUUUAUCAUCGAAUUAAAGAACACGCUCCACCGCUUGUGCGGGUCCCCGUCAAUUCCUUUAUGUUUUAGUCUUGCGACCGUACUCCACAGGCGGGAUACUUAACGCGUUAGCUUCGCUACGGAGGGGGUCGAUACCCCCCACAGCUAGUAUCCAUAGUUUACGGCGUGGACUAC
RNAcentral lists this unclassified non-coding RNA (363 nucleotides) under uncultured bacterium. RNAcentral describes it as "contains 16S-23S intergenic spacer region". The record is from RNAcentral.